This 65-nucleotide transfer RNA is filed under the name Bacillus tuaregi. It matches the Rfam family "tRNA". From Rfam's summary of the family: Transfer RNA (tRNA) molecules are approximately 80 nucleotides in length. Their secondary structure includes four short double-helical elements and three loops (D, anti-codon, and T loops). Further hydrogen bonds mediate the characteristic L-shaped molecular structure. tRNAs have two regions of fundamental functional importance: the anti-codon, which is responsible for specific mRNA codon recognition, and the 3' end, to which the tRNAs corresponding amino acid is attached (by aminoacyl-tRNA synthetases). tRNAs cope with the degeneracy of the genetic code in two manners: having more than one tRNA (with a specific anti-codon) for a particular amino acid; and 'wobble' base-pairing, i.e. permitting non-standard base-pairing at the 3rd anti-codon position. Lineage: Bacteria; Bacillati; Bacillota; Bacilli; Caryophanales; Bacillaceae. The record is from RNAcentral. RNAcentral also lists the same sequence under 3 other names.
GCUAUAGCCAAGCGGUAAGGCAACGGACUUUGACUCCGUCAUUCGUUGGUUCGAAUCCAGCUAGC